Neotoma lepida (desert woodrat) is the source of this 322-nucleotide regulatory RNA element. It matches the Rfam family "Mason-Pfizer monkey virus packaging signal". From Rfam's summary of the family: The packaging signal is located in the 5' UTR and is required for specific RNA encapsidation. Lineage: Eukaryota; Metazoa; Chordata; Mammalia; Rodentia; Cricetidae. The record is from Rfam.
NNNNGCCCAACGUGGGGCUCGAGAAUGUGGAGGAUUGGUGAACGUUGCACAUCAAGGCNGGCCUGCCUAUCAGUUGGACCACCNUGGAGAACUCUCNGUGAGUGAAGGUCUGGUCAAGUAAUCGCCACGGGGACGCCCGACNGUGAGACAGAUCUGGAGAGUUGAUUUGUGCCUACACAAGGUAAGUUUACCGUGGGAUAAGCAUUUAGUAAGCAGGAUUUAUUUAUCUCAGGACUUAAACAGUCUCUCAAGACAUGAGGAACAAGGGUAGAAAAGAAAGAUUUUAAAAAGUUUCUUGAUUAUAUUGGGGACCUUUGUCCCU